CAGUCACUCCUCCCACAGUGCAAUUCAGCAAAAGUGGUGUUUUUAAAAAGCAAUGUAUUCAGCAGAAAGGUUCUCAAUCACUGCCAAGGAAAACUAGAUUUGACAGCACACAAAGACCUUUGGGUUCUGCCAUUGUACUCACAGUGUAGGUUUGUAGAGGAAUUGUUAUUGAAGGACACAUAUCGUUACCCCUGUGUGGGGAUUGAUUUGAAAGAGUCACUGGAAUAUUGUUGUUUAGUGGAGGAAAACAAUUGCUUCAGGAUGCAUUGGCUAACAUUUUUCAUAUUUUUUUUGAGGAUCAACACUUCAUUGUUACAAGCCCUGAAUGAAACUGAUAUUCCUGAAACCCCUAAUGCAACACAUACUGCUCCUGUAAUAAAUAAGCCAAAGAUAGCAACUGUUCUUGUGCCAUGUGUCAUUGGAGGCAUAGUAACACUAGGAAUUGUUUUAUUUUUUCUGGUUAUAAAAAUCCGGGAGACACAGCAUUUGGAGAGGACACUGAGCACUAGGCACCUGGAUCCGACUGGAGUGGCAUUGCCAAGCAAUUCUUUCAAGCUCCCGCCUGUGGAACGACUCAUUUGACAUUCACAGAGACAGUAGAACAUGCGAGGUCUCCGAGUCCUUUAGAAGUACAUCUGGAAUGUCGGGUUGAUCCAGGAACUGGCAGUCCCUAUAACCUUUUACCAGCCAUAACAGAGAGAGAAUCACGAAACAUAAAACAGCACUUCAGCUGAAAAAGAUGAAUCACAUUAUUGGAUAUAAAGCACACAGCUAAAAAUACAGAAUUUGUAGUUGCAGAAAUAUACAUAAACGUAAUGUAAUUCUGUAAGAUAUUUCAGGUGACGUUGAGGUGACCAACCGCAUUGUGAACAGUUGUACAGGCAUGCUGAUCUAUAUUCGAAACCAAAAGCAAUGGGCGUUUUGUUUGUAAUGAUGGAACAAGGGCAGUUGAUGCAGGGCGCAUUAAUGAGGGUUCGUUCCCCAAGGCAUGUAUAAAACCAGGUAUACCCAGGUAUUGAUCAAGUUACUUUAUAAACCAGGUCAUGGGACGGUGAUCUGAAUGAUUUUUUUUGUUGAAAGAAAUAGUUUUUGAGGUAAUAAUGAAAAUGGAUUUGAAGAGUUAAUACUGUUUAUUAGAUUAAUUGUGAUAUACAAAUACUUUCCUGGCCUCAAACCUCUCACAUCCAGGUGGAAGUGAACAGUUAAAAUGUUUGUAUAUUACAGUUAAUUCAGUUAACAUGAACUCAUCAAAUGAUUUGAGUUAAUCGUCUAUUGAACUUAGCAAAUGGCUAAUUUCCUGAAAAUAUUUUCUUCUUUCAACAUGUCUUUAUUGUUUUCUCAUUCCCACUCCUCUUUCUCAAAACUUCUCUUUGCACCAGUACAAUAUCUAUCUGAGCUUUCACUGCACAUAAGCAUCCAGAGACAAGGCAUUUAAUAUAAUGGUGAAUUGAAUGCAUGCAUACAAAUUGGGUCCAUGUGACUAUUGUCUAUUUAGCAAUUCUAGAGAGUAUGAUCUUACCACUGCAGCCCCAAUGCAUUUUAUAUUGUUCAAAAAAAAAAAAAAAAAGCAUUGACUGACUGAUUGUGACACUUUCUAGCUG
Molecule: long non-coding RNA, 1601 nt
Organism: Polyodon spathula (Mississippi paddlefish)
Lineage: Eukaryota; Metazoa; Chordata; Actinopteri; Acipenseriformes; Polyodontidae
Exons: 3
Source: RefSeq, a predicted model, not a curated record